This 406-nucleotide ribosomal RNA is filed under the name uncultured bacterium. RNAcentral's name for it is "partial 16S ribosomal RNA". It matches the Rfam family "Bacterial small subunit ribosomal RNA", at positions 30 to 526 of the family's 1533-position model. The record is from RNAcentral.
AUUGAACGCUGGCGGCAGGCUUAACACAUGCAAGUCGAGCGAGCGGCGGACGGGUGAGUAAUGCCUGGGAAACUGCCUGAUGGAGGGGGAUAACUACUGGAAACGGUAGCUAAUACCGCAUACCAUCAGAUGUGCCCAGAUGGGAUUAGCUAGUAGGUGGGGUAAUGGCUCACCUAGGCGACGAUCCCUAGCUGGUCUGAGAGGAUGACCAGCCAGACGGGAACUGAACCACGGUCCAGACUCCUACGGGAUGCAGCAGUGGGGAAUAGUGCACAAUGGGCGCAAUCCUGAUGCAGCCAUGCCGCGUGUGUGAAGAAGGCCUUCGGGUUGUAAGUCACUAUCAGCAAGGAGGCGUUACUCGCAGAAGAAGCACCGGCUAACUCCGUGCCGGCCGCCGCGGUAAUUC